GAAAGAAGAGCCUGUCAAACUAGCCAGGAUGAUUGCCUGGCCAAGCAUGAGCUUUGAACUAUGAACACAGAGCUGAAGUCUCUAAUGGAAGAGCAGGCAAGUCAUCCUUGGCUACCAAACAAGACUCUUGUUC
RNAcentral lists this microRNA precursor (133 nucleotides) under Rosa chinensis. Lineage: Eukaryota; Viridiplantae; Streptophyta; Magnoliopsida; Rosales; Rosaceae. The record is from RNAcentral.